RNAcentral lists this ribosomal RNA (374 nucleotides) under uncultured eukaryote. RNAcentral's name for it is "partial 18S ribosomal RNA". It matches the Rfam family "Eukaryotic small subunit ribosomal RNA", at positions 592 to 976 of the family's 1831-position model. The record is from RNAcentral.
CAAUAGCGUAUAUUUAAGUUGUUGCAGUUAAAAAGCUCGUAGUUGGAUUUCUGCUGAUCGCUGUCGGUUUGCCGUCAGGUGUGUACUGGCAGUGUUUGGCAUCUAUUCGAGAUUGGGUGUCCACUUGAUUGUGUGCACUCGAUGUCGGAGCUAAUACUUUGAGAAAAUUAGAGUGUUCCACGCAGGCGCGUGCCUUGAAUACUGCAGCAUGGGAUAUUGGAAGGCCGAUUGAGCUUUCUUGUUGGUUCUCGGUUUGAUCGGAAUGAUUAAUAGGGAUAGUUGGGGGCAUUCGUAUUCAACUGUCAGAGGUGAAAUUCUUGGAUUUGUUGAAGACGGACUACUGCGAAAGCAUCUGCCAUGGAUGUUCUCAUUGA